RNAcentral lists this ribosomal RNA (253 nucleotides) under uncultured bacterium. RNAcentral's name for it is "partial 16S ribosomal RNA". It matches the Rfam family "Bacterial small subunit ribosomal RNA", at positions 524 to 776 of the family's 1533-position model. The record is from RNAcentral.
UACGUAGGUGGCUAGCGUUGCUCGGAAUCACUGGGCGUAAAGGGUGCGUAGGCGGGUCUUUAAGUCAGGGGUGAAAUCCUGGAGCUCAACUCCAGAACUGCCUUUGAUACUGAGGAUCUUGAGUCCGGGAGAGGUGAGUGGAACUGCGAGUGUAGAGGUGAAAUUCGUAGAUAUUCGCAAGAACACCAGUGGCGAAGGCGGCUCACUGGCCCGGUACUGACGCUGAGGCACGAAAGCGUGGGGAGCAAACAGG